This 576-nucleotide ribosomal RNA is filed under the name Trichoderma sp. MKZ-2007a. RNAcentral's name for it is "eukaryotic LSU rRNA". The stretch from base 189 to 342 matches the Rfam family "5.8S ribosomal RNA". The record is from RNAcentral. Lineage: Eukaryota; Fungi; Ascomycota; Sordariomycetes; Hypocreales; Hypocreaceae.
UCCCAAACCCAAUGUGAACGUUACCAAACUGUUGCCUCGGCGGGAUCUCUGCCCCGGGUGCGUCGCAGCCCCGGACCAAGGCGCCCGCCGGAGGACCAACCAAAACUCUUAUUGUAUACCCCCUCGCGGGUUUUUUUAUAAUCUGAGCCUUCUCGGCGCCCCUCGUGGGCGUUUCGAAAAUGAAUCAAAACUUUCAACAACGGAUCUCUUGGUUCUGGCAUCGAUGAAGAACGCAGCGAAAUGCGAUAAGUAAUGUGAAUUGCAGAAUUCAGUGAAUCAUCGAAUCUUUGAACGCACAUUGCGCCCGCCAGUAUUCUGGCGGGCAUGCCUGUCCGAGCGUCAUUUCAACCCUCGAACCCCUCCGGGGGGUCGGCGUUGGGGAUCGGCCCUCCCUCUGCGGGGGCCGUCUCCGAAAUACAGUGGCGGUCUCGCCGCAGCCUCUCCUGCGCAGUAGUUUGCACACUCGCACCGGGAGCGCGGCGCGUCCACAGCCGUUAAACACCCCAACUUUCUGAAAUGUUGACCUCGGAUCAGGUAGGAAUACCCGCUGAACUUAAGCAUAUCAAUAAGCGGAGG